Molecule: ribosomal RNA, 459 nt
Filed under: uncultured bacterium
Lineage: Bacteria
Description: partial 16S ribosomal RNA
Rfam family: Bacterial small subunit ribosomal RNA
Source: RNAcentral
CCUACGGGAGGCAGCAGUCGAGAAUCAUUCACAAUGGGGGAAACCCUGAUGGUGCGACGCCGCGUGGGGGAAUGAAGGUCUUCGGAUUGUAAACCUCUUUUGUCGGGGAGCAAAAGACGCCACGCGUGGCGUUCCGAGAGUACCCGAAGAAAAAGCAUCGGCUCACUCCGUGCCAGCAGCCGCGGUAAUACGGAGGAUGCGAGCGUUAUCCGUAUUUAUUGGGUUUAAAGGGUGCGAAGGCGGAAUAUCAAGGCAGCGGUAAAAUUGAGAGGCUCAACCGCUUCGAGCCGGUGAAACUGGUUUUCUUGAGUGGGUGAGAAGUAUGCGGAAUGCGUGGUGUAGCGGUGAAAUGCAUAGAUAUCACGCAGAACUACGAUUGCGAAGGCAGCAUACCGGCGCUCAACUGACGCUCAUGCACGAAAGUGUGGGUAUCGAACAGGAUUAGAUACCCUUGUAGUC